UACGUAGGGCGCAAGCGUUGUCCGGAAUUAUUGGGCGUAAAGAGCGUGUAGGCGGCCUGGUAGGUCUGCUGUGAAAACUCGAGGCUCAACCUCGAGAUGUCGGCGGAAACCAUCUGGCUAGAGUCCGGAAGAGGAGAGUGGAAUUCCUGGUGUAGCGGUGAAAUGCGCAGAUAUCAGGAAGAACACCUAUGGCGAAGGCAGCUCUCUGGGACGGUACUGACGCUGAGACGCGAAAGCGUGGGGAGCGAACAGG
Molecule: ribosomal RNA, 253 nt
Filed under: uncultured bacterium
Lineage: Bacteria
Description: partial 16S ribosomal RNA
Rfam family: Bacterial small subunit ribosomal RNA
Source: RNAcentral